This 190-nucleotide unclassified non-coding RNA is filed under the name rhizosphere metagenome. RNAcentral's name for it is "partial ribosomal RNA internal transcribed spacer region". The record is from RNAcentral.
GUAGGUGAACCUGCGGAAGGAUCAUUAAAGAAUCGGCGGUCCUCGCGGCCCCAUUCUCACCCUUUGCAUACCUAAACUACAGUUGCUUUGGCCGGCCCCCGGGCCGGCCAGAGGACCUAAACCCUUGAAUCAUUGCUGUCUGAGUACUAUACAAUAGUUAAAACUUUCAACAACGGAUCUCUUGGUUCUG